Molecule: ribosomal RNA, 252 nt
Filed under: uncultured bacterium
Lineage: Bacteria
Description: partial 16S ribosomal RNA
Rfam family: Bacterial small subunit ribosomal RNA
Source: RNAcentral
UACGUAGGGGGCUAGCGUUAUCCGGAAUUAUUGGGCGUAAAGGGUGCGUAGGUGGUUUUUCAAGUCAGGAGUGAAAGGCUACGGCUCAACCGGAGUAAGCUCUUGAAACUGUAAAACUUGAGUGCAGGAGAGGAGAGUGGAAUUCCUAGUGUAGCGGUGAAAUGCGUAGAUAUUAGGAAGAACACCAGUUGCGAAGGCGGCUAUCUGGACUGUAACUGACACUGAGACGCGAAAGCGUGGGGAGCAAACAGG